Long non-coding RNA from Orcinus orca (killer whale), 479 nucleotides. RefSeq lists it as uncharacterized. The transcript is spliced from 3 exons. NCBI's taxonomy places the organism in Eukaryota, Metazoa, Chordata, Mammalia, Artiodactyla, Delphinidae. The record is from RefSeq and is a predicted model, not a curated record.
AGUGGCUUCAGCCGGAGGGGGAGGGUAACGUGACAGCGGGGGAGGUGCAACAGCAGAGGCCUCCACGGGCUUAGUGCUCACCUCUGUGAUCAGAAGCAGCAGCACGAGCAGAGCACAGACUCCCCACACCUGGAGGACAAGGUCCUGCUCCCCUCCCACAGUCAGCGCGCAGGCUGCCCCAGGAGCACACCUGGAGGACAAGGUCCUGCUCCCCUCCCACAGUCAGCGCGCAGGCUGCCCCAGGAGCACACCUGGAGGACAAGGUCCUGCUCCCCUCCCACAGUCAGCGCGCAGGCUGCCCCAGGAGCACACCUGGAGGACAAGGUCCUGCUCCCCUCCCACAGUCAGCGCGCAGGCUGCCCCAGGAGCACACCUGGAGGACAAGGUCCUGCUCCCCUCCCACAGUCAGCGCGCAGGCUGCCCCAGGAGCACACCUGGAGGACAAGGUCCUGCUCCCCUCCCACAGUCAGCGCGCAGGC